Molecule: RNA transcript, 13467 nt
Organism: Haplochromis burtoni (Burton's mouthbrooder)
Lineage: Eukaryota; Metazoa; Chordata; Actinopteri; Cichliformes; Cichlidae
Gene name: chemokine-like protein TAFA-1
Exons: 5
Source: RefSeq, a predicted model, not a curated record
UGCCUCAUUUGCCGAUGAAGUCUUGAUGCAGAAGUGGGUAGUCUUGCUUUAAGACGUGUGAUCUGACUCUCUCAGCUCUCUCUCGCUCUCUCGCUCUCUCCCUUGCUUUCCAGCUGGGCUACAUUGUAAUACACACACACAUGCACACUCACUCACAUUCGCUCUGCCUGUCUGACACAGACUCUCUACUUAGAGCGCUGGAGAGAGGACUGAAGCUCACACUAUCAGCACUGCUUCUCAAUGGGGGGAUGCAGCCAAGAGCAGACAGAGCAGUCAUUCCACUGGAGCCUUCCGCUGCACGCGUGAGAAGGAGACGACAAGUGAGGAGGGUAAAUUAGCUCCCAGUCAACAGAACAUAGGAGUUUUACUGACGGAGAAGAGACACUGAAGGAAGGAGAGCACAUCUUCACGAAUGUGGCUGAGACAGCAGUGACAUGAUCAGCCUUCCAUCCCUCAAAUCCUGGCCAGUUUGUAACAAAGACCCCUGGGUGUUUUGCUUUUGGUGACUCUUUGUGUUGCCAAAGGAUUUCAAAAAGAACCUGAGCAGCAGGGGUCCAAAAGGAUAUAUAGAAAGGAAAGAACAGCCUUUUUAGCUUCCUUUUGUGCAGUGUUUGGCUUAUCUGUUAGUGGAAUUUCAGGCUGAAAACCCUGGCUCCCAAGUAUGGAUGGAUUUAAGACUGAGGAGUGAGUCUGCUGGGCAGGCAGUGAUUCUGACUGAACUCCUUUGCUUCUGAACGCAGCGCUCAGACUCGGCCUUACCAUGUCCUGGUUGUUGGCCAUGUGGAUUAGCCUCGGCUUCCUGCUGCUGUGCCAGGCAACUCUCUACCAGACCAUCCAACAGCACCAUGUGGCCCGGCCUGGUCGCACUGACAUUCUCACCCUGGAGGGUGGUACGUGCGAGGUGAUUGCUGCCCACCGAUGCUGUAACAAGAAUCGUAUCGAGGAGCGCUCUCAGACAGUCAAGUGCUCCUGUUUACCGGGGAAAGUGGCCGGAACGACACGCAACAAACCCUCCUGUGUGGAUGCGUCCAUUGUAAUUGGGAAAUGGUGGUGUGAGAUGGAACCGUGUCUGGAGGGAGAAGAGUGUAAGACUCUGCCUGACAACUCUGGAUGGAUGUGCUCCUCUGGGAACAAAAUCAAGACCACAAGGGUGAGAAAUCACACACACUUAAGUUCAGCUGCCUACAUCUGCAUGCACACACAUACUCUCAUAAUAUAGAGAAGCUAUUCUACGCAUACUUUACACGCAUGUGUUUGUCAUUUCUGUGCUGCGAGUAGAAAUGCACACCUAACCAACCAUACGACACGGCACAUUUACACCGUUUCCACACAAUGCAUUGCAUAUAGCCAGACAACUUAAAAUUUAAUCGUUUUUCUUGAACUUGUCAACUGCCUGCUGCUGCACACAUUGAAACGCAGAUUUUCAAACCCAUAUAAAUGUGCUGAAAUAGCACUGUAAAGAAAUUCAUCCAAAAGCUGUGCCCUCUCUAUAACAAGGUUGGUUUUGUUCAGUGUAAGCAACCUAUCUAAUGGCCCAUAGUAGUAAAAAAAUAAAUAUAAAGCAGGUGGUAAACAAACAGGUGGGAUCUGCCUCAGGCCACACUUGUCAACGACAUAAAGUUAAUGGCUGCUCUGCUCCUCCACUGCUUUUUCAGCUUUGUGCACUCACUUCGAUUGCAGUAUGCAAAAAUAAUGCAGAGUUUAGUCCUCGAAGCCAGCAGUCCAGCACUGUGACAAGUUGAUCACCUGAUUUGUAUUCACUUAAUUGACCCCCUUUCUCCCUUCCAGUGCUUGGUGACAAUGACUUUGAAUAGCAGCAGAGGCUAAUGUGAUAGUAGAGAAACGGGGAACAGCCAGUGAAGGCUAGACGUCAUGGGGCUUCCCAAGGUUGUUCUGUAGAUUUAUGUGCCAGCAAAUAGACAUAAAGCUUUCAAAGGGGCCCCUCACAGCCAUCGCAGGCUUAAAAUUUUCAGAAAGAAGUUGAUCGAAUGGGGUCUUGCCAGCUUGUCAAGGUAAGGUGCAGUACUUGGUUUACUCUUUAGAAUGCAUCUAGAAGUAUCAAUGCAGCCCACUGCAUAAUGUGAAGAAAGUCGAUUUAAAAUGAUCUUAUGAACAGUACUGUUCAAAAGUCUUGAGCAACCUGUCAUUUCUUUGUAUUUCACUUCAAAGGAGGCAGGUAUUUAAAAAUGUCUUGGGCAGGCUUUCUGACAUUUCUUUUUCACUAAUUCUCCAGUCCAGCCCUUAUACCUGCGCUCUCUGUUUUGUGUUUUGGAUGAGUCGCUUAACACUGACUCAUAAAUCAGCCAAAUAGUAUUAUAUGAACCGCAUCUGUAUUAUAUUAUUAUAUUGCCACAUUGCAGACAACUUAGCAAAGAACCAAUUAUAAAUCAUAUCUUUAGACACUUUAUGACUAGCAGCCUUUUGCAAAAGCAUGUGACUUCUUCCUAAUUCUUUAGUCAAAACUAUGAAAAACACUUACGAUAACACGGUUUAACAGGCAUAAAAUAUUUUUGCACCAACAAGGUCAUUCCCAAAGUGCUAUUGUCAACAUGGUGUGCAUUGUGUUAAAACAAUUUAGGACACCAGGCAAGUAGAGGACAAACAAAGAACUGACAGGCCCAAAAAGCAGGUGAACAGUAUCUAAUGUCCUUAAGAAAUAGGAAAAGAAAUCCAGCCAAGACCUGAGAGAUGCCUCUGGCUAUUCAGCUGAUCUACUGUCCUCUAAAGCUUCAUCAGAAAUGUUCAGUCUCAGUGGAAGUGUGGCUGUCAAUAAUCUGAUCUUAAUGAAGAGAAACAGGGAGAAGAGGCUGGUGUACGCCAAAUUGCACAAGAACUGAACUGAAAAGUCUUACGGAGUGCUGAAUCCAAAUUUGGUUCAGAUUAUCAUCAGUAUGUAUCAGGAAUGAGCACAACAGUGAGGGUCCACAGCCAUCUGUAAAACACGGUGGAGGCUCUGUCAUGGUUUAGUGGUGUUGGAGAUUGUUGGAAUUAUUAAAAGUGAAAUUACCAUCAGAUUUUGAUCUAUGUUGGAAUAAUACCUGGAAAAGCAUCUGAUUGAUUACAGCUUCACUUUCGAGCAUGACAAUGAUCCCAGUCACAUUGCCAGAGCAGUAAAAGGAUACUUGCAUAGAAAAAAAAUGCAUUUUUUUUGUCCUAAAUGUAUGUUUGCAGAUUUCAAUAAAUCAUUGCACCUAUUAGCUAUUUUCCUAACAAAAUAUAAAGCAAUGCAGGGUGGCUCAAGAUUUUGGCACAGUAAAGUAGAGGCAGUGAAUCCUAUUUUAUUUAUUUACUCUCUUGAGAUGCAGAAAUCGAGUUUGUUAAUUUCUGCGCACAAAAGAAGGAAAAGCUAUACUGUCACAUGGUUUUGGUCUAAUGUCAAAAUCUUAAGAGAAGAGCGUAAAAAGGUCAGGCCUGAAGGUGCUUUUCUACCGAAUACACACGUGUCCUUCUUUUCUUGACCCUCUCUUUGCAGAACACCCAGCCAUACUCCCCUUUUUAGCUUCCGGAAGCAAAAUGCAGAGGAUGCAUCAACAGAAAUUGAGCUGCAUUCUUGCUUCUGUAAAGAUUCAUCCCAGGACCUAACAGAGAGCUCCCAUUGCAGGGCUCAGCGCCAGGCUCCUUCCCCUCAUGUACCCUUUCUCUUCUCAUCGAAUGGACUAAAACUAUUACAUCCACGGCUACUGACUGGAUUACCUGGGACCAUAGAAAGGAUAUCCACCCAGAUAAAACAGCUUUGCUCGCGUGGUGCCAAGGAUUUGAAACCAGACUAAUCCCGUGUUUGAUCAAUGAGCUCCAUGUUGGUGACUCUCCUCUUCCACACAGCUGUGGCCAGUUUCUGACCUACUCUUCCCUCACUCUGUUUCCCUAUUCAGAACUAAAGCAGCUUAGCAGGGGCUAUUUAGAGGUUGUUAAAACAUAAUUUGAAGACGUUCUCCCCGCCCGUCUGAGGGUGAACUUGUUGGCAAACUUUCAUAGACCUGAACCUGAAUCUGUGGAACUGAGGGCACAUUGGGGGAAAUUUUUAUUUCUGUGUGGAAAGCAUUUGUAUUUGACUCACUACCUGAGGCUGAUCGCUUUGUUGUGGCUGCACCGAGGAAACUGUCAGCUGUUACCGCUAGAAAGGUCGAUUAAUGAAGACUCUCAGAGAGGCUUUAGGGUCAACCCCAUGGCCUCACGCUCAUCCUCCACGACGAACAUUCUGACUUUUAUUGGUGGGCAUGCCCAGUGUAAAUUCAUGAGCACUUCUUUUCUUUGUAUGUAAGAUAAUUUGUGUAUAUAUACACAUAUAUAAAUACAUUACAUGUUAAGCUGACAGAUCCAAGAAGCUGAAAAAUAUAUUUACAGAUUUCAAGCCCGUGUUGGAAUCCUGAAUAACCCUUGAACGUGAGCCAGAGGCUGUCGUCACGGUGCGGUGUGUCUAGGACUGCUUCGCAUUGGGGGAAAAAGCCACAACGGAAUCAUAAAAAUAAGUUCUGCUCACUUUUGUCAUUCAGCAAUGUUGUUUGGUUACUCCAGAAAGCGCUUGUUGUUUCAGUAAAGCUGAGGAAAACACUGUAUAGAACUGCCUCACUAAAGAAAGCAGCAACACCCACCCGUGACCUUUCCCCUCAGACACAUCAGAGAAACUCUGACCAUAAUAGGACAAUUACGUUUCUGCAGCGGAGAGUGGUCACGGGUGAGAGUGUCUGUAAUGUAGAUGUUCCUCUUACACACACCAGAGAGAUGAUUUAUUCAAAGUGACAGUGAGAAAGUAUUAGUCACAAAGGAGAAACAUAGUUAUCCCCCAGUAGCUAUAAGUACAUUACAGGACAGCCUUAUGAGAAAUAAAAAUGGUUUUCUAUACUGAUAUGCUGCCUCCCAUUUCUCCAUAAGGUGACUGAUAUUUUGAAAAAUGUUCCUCUUACGACUAUUUGAUAUGUUGUAAUAUGUGGGUGGAAGAUCUCGUCAGAGUUUCAUUUAUUUUAUAUGUUAACGUUGUGAACAGAGUUUUUGCUUGAGUAAACAAGCAAUCAAGAACGGCACAGGACGCGUAUGAAAAUGACUUACGGGCACAGACACACUCACAAACACACACACACAUGCGGUAAACACAAACGGAUCUGUGAUGCUUCAUUUAUACAAUUCCCUUGCUGGCAGAGUGGAUUUAUCAAAACAGAGCAUUCAAUUCAUUCAUGCAAUUAGAAUAAGGAUUUCCAAUAUCAGGCCAGGCAAAAUUCCAGAUGAUUUUCAAUAUCAACCUCCUCUCUCGGCAGAUAUUAGAUUCGUUUCUUGUCCCAGUGGAUGCACUAGUGUACAUUCAUCAUUUAGGAAUUUGGCUAGUUUCGUGGAGCCCGGUGCCUCGCUGAGCAGUCACAGAAGGUAUGAAAAAGACAGAGACAUCAAUCUCCCAGUGGUCUUGCCAGAAUCAUGAGGGAAUAUAGUAAAGGAGAGAGAGAGAGACUGCUUUCUCCUCCUGAAUGGGUCAUUUCCGUCUUUGUUUUCUCCUAUUUAUUGGGAUUGGCCGUCCUUAAGUCUUAUUUAGCUUGUACUAAAGAAAAUGAAACAGUAGAGGAGUUUGUGCAUAUGCACGACCUGUCUGCGGGUGCUUUUUUGUUGCCAUAAACGUUUGUCUUUUUUUACACGCACAUCCCUGUGUGUGUGUAUUUUAGACCCAGAGUCUGGGAGAAAUACAUCCUGCGACGACGUACUGUGAAGAUUAUCCUCAAAUUCGGUGCUCGUGUAGGAAAUCAAGCGAUUUCUCCCUUCCUACUUAUGCAGUUCUAAGUGGAUUUUUUUUUGCUUAAAAGGUGCUUGGGGAUCAGAAAUGGAAGAGGUGCUUUUCCUUUUGCCUUUUCUCAUUCUCUUUUAUGCACUGCUUAGCUCUAUCCAGAAAUGAUAGAGUCGUGCUGUGGAGGGAGGUCCUGCACCAUUUUAGACAAAGCAGAAAGGAGCCCAGCAUGAAUAAAUAAGCGGGGCCAGGUCCUCCUCCCACGCCACAGGACUGUACAAUCUCAAAAGAGAGACAUCCAUCAAGUCCUGCCGACCUCCCACUGAGACAGGGAGACAGCCAUGACCACAUCACGCUGGAUGGCUAAUCAACGCCUGACAGCAAGGACAACCCUUUUCAUGCAGCCGAGAUGUGCGCGCAGGAUGUCGGCCAGUGUUGUUUAUAAAACUUGCACUUGUAACUUCCAAGGGUAUCUCAAGUAAAACCUAAACUUUUGCCCUGCAUAGAAGGUAAAUGCUUGGCUGCUUUUAGGAGCUUUCAUAAAGAGCCUCACUCCUCUUUGACGGCACUUCUGUCUUCGCACUUUAUCACAUUCAUAUUCUUUAAUCAUUUUGGAUAGCAACCUAUAAUUUGUGGAAAGGGCACACUCCUUACCUGUGGGGGCUUUGUGGCCUAUAAUUACAGUCAUUAUGGCCAUGAGUCACGGUGAAUAUCAGCUUUAUAAUGAUCAUUCACUAGAGCUGGACAACUAAGAGUGUUCGAAAAUCAUUAAUGACACUAAAACUUCCCCUCAAUGAUAGCUAUUUUCUGCAACUUUGGGCAUUAUUACCAGUGGCCCAUUUUCUAUGAAAUGUAAUAGCACAGUAUCAGACAGAGUAGAAUUAAUCCUUUUAAUUAUUGAACUCAACAAAUGGGAGCAGUGGCAGCACUGUCACAGCUAACAUGUUCAUCACACCUUUUUUUAAAAAGAACUUGUAGUGGUGACAAAACACAAAGUUGAUACACACACACACACAAAAGCUGAAACUGAGUCAAAACGGUGAACCGCAUACUUUCAAGUGAAACACACCAAUCCCCUGCUGUACACCAUUGUUUGUAACAAAUGAGCACAUACUCUGAUGGGUAUGCAAUACAUCACUGUCCUAGUCCCAUGACACUUAACCGUACCCACCAACCACCAAUACCCUUGUCAGCCAAAUGACUAGCCUGUCUAUGAUUGUCAGCGGCUGCCAUAAUGAUAAUUUAUUUCCGUGCUCCUUUACACUUCUUCACCUUAUUUCCUCUCCCAUUUCAACCCAAAACGCAGCAAACUAAAAUCCAUCAUGCUGCACAUGCUGAAUGGCCGAGCGUUGAGGAUGACAUUUCAUGUCCCACAAGGGGCGCCGAUGUCGUCACAGAGCAGCCUCCCUGGGAGAUUUCACAGUUCACACUUUCCCAUUAAACAGAGAGCAUUUUUCAUAGUGCUGAAUCCACACAGCGGGACAGCUGUAAACACACAGUUUCUCAAUUGUUUGCCACUUCUGAAUAAAUGACCAAGAGCCGAACUGGAAGGAGUGAGGAGUUAACUUCUUGUUCCGAGCCGCAGAGUACAUGAAUACGUCACAUGAGUUUAGCUUGCACAUCUCACAGUAUUCAAAAUUUAAUGAUUAUAAAAUGCAAAAUAAUGUUUUCAUGCAGGACACAAUGCAGGAUGAGGACACACAGCACAUCUCACAGGUUGAAAAGGCUGUUUGUUUGUGUUGAAUUUGUGGGGGGUUUUUUUAUUGCAUUAUUUUUUUCAUAAAAUGUCCAGUGCACCACAGAGUACUAUAAUUCAGACCAGUAAACACGACACAGCUAUUUUCUGGUGUUGGCUUCAAUUACAUCAUACAGUAAAGAAAUAAAGACAUACAUAUCAGAGAUCUAUCUAUCUGUCUGUCUAUCUGCUAGAUAGACAGACAGAUGCUGCUUUGAUUGCAGAGAAGAUUGUACCUUGGCAUUUUUAAGGAGAGGUCAGAUACAAUUUCAUGUUGUUUGUCCACAAUUGUAUAGACAGUUCACAACUGGCCUGGCCCCCAGGCUGCCUGCCAGAGACAAAGCACUGUGCCGUCAGUCCAAACCUGCCCACACACACAAUAUCUGCAGUGAACUUAUCUAAAGUUUGGAUGAUGGAAAGGCAAACUAGAGCAUUUGUCUUGCCCACACACUGCCUGAAAAGUUUUGCCAUGUCAUCGAGUUCAUGCAAUUUACGUUUUUCUCGUUCUCCAUUAAGUUACCUGAGUUUCCUAAUCAAUUGGGUUUAUCCUGUAAAUGUGGGUUCAAUUUGAACAAAUAGUACCGUUGGAUGAUCAAACUGAAUCUUAAACUGGAAAUUACUAACAGUUCUACUGUUGUAGACUAGCGUUAGGCUAGUAAUACACCAAGGCCAAAUGCCAAAUACAUGUUUAGUCCUUGCUCUGUCCUCACACAGGCUUUCACGAAUAAUAGAAAUCCUAAAAUUCGAUUAAGCCAUAAUCUAAUAAAUUUAAAACAUUUUCACAAAUAAAUUGCUACAAUUCAUAUUCAUUCUCUGAUCUGUCUCUUCCACAUUAUAUCAUGCCUCAAGGCCGUCUCACAAAAAGUUCCUCUUUUCUGAAUUUGAAAGUGAAUCCUUGUGAUUACAGCAUGACGCAGAACACCAAGUAUGUAAAAUCCACAAUAACACAUAAAAAUCCAUGGACUGACUAGACAGAAAGUGAAUUGUUGCUAUUCUCUCCUGUGUCAGGUACAAGCUGAGCGGUUAUAUAGCACAGUCUCAGCAGAGUCUUUAGUCUGGGUUAAUGGUAAAGGUGAUUUUCUGAUGGCUGCAGGAUGGAACCACUUUCCCCAAUUCCACUCUCAGCCAAUGAGCUGCCUCUUUCUCUGGUAUGCAAAUUAGAGGCACAAGGGCAAGCAGGGAUUGUGAAGGACACAGUCUUUAGGCCACAAGGAGACGGAGCCACCCCGGAGGGCCAACGAUGCCUCAUUCAGAUUCAACACGAUCAUUUCCCCUCGGCAGAUGAAGUACGUCGGUGCUAAACUCAGACUGAAUACAGUGCCGAGAACACAAACAGGCAUACCUUUAAAAAACGAUUGCAACCAGUAGUCCAGUGUGGAAAUCUUGUUUAAUAAUUGAAUGUGAAUGAUGUGCUAUCUGGGCCAUAAAAGCAUACCUUAUAGUGGCAUACAUUCUUCAGAAAAUCGCCUUAACCUGGCAACUGACAUAUACACACACAAGUACACAAAGGGGCUGAACACAUGCCUUUACCUAAGCAGCCAGUAUUGCAAACAUCGCUGCUAGAUUGGAAUUUUAAGAUGAGCAUGAUGCAGAAAUCAAUUUAGAUGUUAUUCCCACGACAGUGCCUGGGUAUGACUAGCCAGGGUAUUUUCUAUUUUGUGUUACCUUUCCCACCUUGAUUUUUUCCCCCCAAGCUAUCAUCCCAAAUAGAAUGGUGUCUGCACCUCAAGGCGGCGGCCAUUGAUCCACACUGGAAGUGAGACACUGCUGCUUGUGCCAUCGGCACAAUACUUGUUAUUGGUCAGACUGCAUCAGUGACUGGAUAUAGAUGGUCAAACGUGUUGGCUGUACACAAACAUGGUUGUGAUACAACUGAGCUUUAACAUCUCAGUGUGUGACCCAAUGCUUCCAACUACAUAUUUACAGGUUUAAAAGGAAGUUAUUGGAAUUAGCCUAUAAAUUAGGCAAUAGACUCUCAUAUUUGUAUGUUUCAUAUGAAAUAGCAUAGCAUUUUGGAAGAUCUACGUCUCUAUAUGGCUUGCCUUUAUGGUAUUUUACAGCAGGGUGGUGUAGUAGUUAGCACUGUCGCUUCUUGAUUUGAACCUUCUUGGGGCAAUUCUGUGUGGAGUUUGCAUGCUUUCCCUGUACUUGUGUGGGUUUCCUUUGGGUGAUCCAGUGUUCUCCUACAGUCGGAAGAGCAUUGCGUUAAUUGGUGAUUCUAAAUUGCCUGUAGGUGUAAAUGUGAGAUAUACAAAGUGGUUAAAGAUUUAUAGUGCUAUGUGAUUGGGGCUUGCAGCCUAAAGUACUUUGAGCAGUAAGAAAAACACCAGAAAUAUGCUAUAUAAAUGCAAUCCACUGACCACAACCACGACAGCUACAGAAAAUCAGACAAACUUAACGUGGCCACAAUGCAUAACAUCCAACGAGUGCCCUGUUCGCUUCUUGUCCCUCGUGGAUCUAUUAGCUAGAAACUGCUCGUGGCCCUCUGGCUCUGUGCCGUCUACUAAGACAUCUUGUUUUUAUCUCAUAUAGUUUCAUAAUCUAAGUGAGCUGCAACCACUUUCACAUUCACAGUUAGUUACAUGUCAGCUGAUAUUAUACACCACACCAUCCCUACAACAGCUUCUUCAUAUCUUUAUUCUGUAUUAGCUUUUCUGGGAGCUGUCGCAAAGUUAACUCUCGGUCUGUCUUCCCUGGCAGACAGUAGAUAGAAGACAAAUAGGCCUGUGUAUACAUAAUACCUGUAGGUGACACAAUGCUUUCAUAAUGCAAACUGACAAAGUCAAUAGAGCUGCUGAAAUAUGAAGGAAGGGGUUUUUUGGGGGGGUGUUCAUCGUAUAUCCUAAUCAAGAGACAUUCAGUGCACACUCGACCAGUGCUGUGAAACUGCCUUGUCUAAUCUACUGUGCAGUUUUUAUAUUUUCUUAAAGCCAAAAUAAAAUAAAAAUGACAUCAGCCGUUAUGUGUGUUUUAAAUAAAGCUGGGUUUUUUGAGUGCGGCGAACCAUUAGUGCAUAAGGUUCAGCUAGAGAGAAGCUGUGAUCUCCCGGUGCAGUCUGCUGUAGGCUGUUACAGGAUUGUCCCCUGCCACUGCUCUCAUUUCGUGUAACACUGGCAGUGCAUUUUCCUGAAGUGCUCAGAGCAAAACUACUUAAAGUCGUUCCCCAUAUGAACAACUUAGUAAAUGAAUGCCUGGAAUGUGUCAUCGAUUAAACAGCACAGUCCUUCUCCUAUGAUUCAUAGGCAGAGUGCGUGCACUCAGGCACAUAAUCUCUUUUUUUCAUUUCAGCACCUCCAGAAUUGCCUUCUAAACACAAAUAAUGACAGUGGCAGCAAAGCUCUGCAAGCCUAUCCAUGAGCUCAUAUAAAAUGCGUUGAUCAUUUAGCUGAUUCAUAAUUUUCCGCUACCCGAAAGCACAGCUCUCUGCUGCAUCAGACAGAUAUUUGUUUUACUGCAUCCUAAAUAGCAAUAUACCAGUAUUUUCCAGAUUACAUCUGAAGGAAAUUAUAGCUUUUAAAAACGUGUUUUGUCACUUGUGGAGCCAAUAACAUGUAACAUAACAUGUGAGCUUAAACAGAUCAUAAUAGUUUCUUUUAUAUACAUUCAAAUCUAUCUUAACAACAACCUUCCAGCGAUAUUACAGCGAUUUAUUCACUUUAAUAAAGCAAUGAAAUCAGUGUUACAGUGAAGACUGAUUACUGGAAAUAUAACUCAAACUUCACAAGAUGAUAUAACGCCCAUUUUACGUGUAACCUACCUUUCCAAAUUUUCCACCAUCUUCCACCUCAACAACUCGCUCCUGUCCCCAUCUUUAUUACAUUAAUCACAUGUGCCUACAUUAAAUGAAAUCCAUUUAAAUACCCCUGGUUGCACAAAUUAUUUGUGUAGCCAGGUUGAAAGACUUGGGAGUCAAAGGCGGCAUAAUUAGACGGGACGAUUCUGAAACCUAAUACAAGAUGUAAUUAAGGAAAUUAAUAAGGUGUCAGCCCCCUUUCACUGGGUGCUCUGCCUGAUGAUUAAUCACAGCCUGGGCUAAUUUGAUUUGUGACAAGGAAAAGGAUGACUUGGUAAGUCAGUUAGGAGAACCCAACUCGACAGCAUAUGACAUUAAUAAAACAUGAAAAGUGGGGGCUGAGAGAGUAACGAAAAUCCACUUGUGAUCCACAUGAAGCAAUCAGAUUAAAGGAGACUUUGGAUAGAUAGCCCUGUGACAAAGUCGCUGACAGGGGACUGAGUGUAAUUUAAUCAAAGCCUCUGAUGUUACAUUAUUCUUAUUAAUCCAUAAUUGGACAUACCACCAUCAUAAAGCAACAAGUAUAGUCAUUUAUGUAGGUGGAGGUAAAAAUCAAACUACAUUCCAGAUAUAAUGUGAUCUUUUAAGAAGGUAGGAACAUUGUAUGACACAUCGAAGCACUGAAAGAGGAAAAGAUAAGGCCGAGGCAUUAGUCACUGAGCCACCAAAACAGAAGAUGAGUGCCGCAGUUCUUACUCGCAGGCACAGAGGAACAUAAGAAAUCAUAAGAUUUCAACACGCUUAGAGAUUAAGGGUUGGGUUAUGGUCUCUUCUUGUGACGCGAUGUCCAACGACAUUAUGCAAUGACGCUCAAUGAUGUGUGUUUAUAAUUGUUUCAACUGAAAAGCCAGUGAUUACAGAGUAGAGGGAGGGAGCGGAGAGAUGCAGUGUAAACCAAAAGCCGAGAUAAUGCCUGGUUUUCAUACAUGAAAAGUGCCACGAAUAUCAUACAGCUGCCAGAUCACCAAUUUUGAAUGUUGUAAACAAUGGGGAGCGCAGACGUCCCUGUGUGAAGUCAAAAUGGCAAUCCAAAACAAAGCACAGUUCUGGCAGACCAUAAUGUCUAUGUUGCUAUGCUGUCAUCAUAUGAUCCGGUUCACCUCCUGCUCUCUCCCAGUGAUGCUUGAUGAAAAGCUUAGUGGAGGGAAGCAAACAGAAGGUAAUUAAUUUCUCAAGUGGAUUCUAAUUGAUUUGUGCUAUAUUUGGAGGGACAGGUAGGGGGAGCGAGUGUGUUUGUAAUUGUGUUUACACCUGCAGAGAGUACACGUAAUAUCGAGAACAUCUGUAUACAAUGCAACCCAACCGCUUUGCAUUUAACUUGAUCAUUGUGAGAAAAACUGCGAUGUUCUGCAUGAACCUCAGGUUGAACCCCUCUGCCUCACAGAGGCUGACUGAGAAAUACUCGAUCAAUUUUGCAAUAUCUACACUUUAUGAUAAUAUUUGAGGUCGUAGUUCAUUUGAGUCUGUGUUCUGAAUUCCAGUGUAGCUGUCCUAGAUAUUGUGUCUGUCAUUUGUAUGUGCCCACACUAUGCAGGGUUACUUGAAUUUACAUACAAUGCAUUAUUGUGUGUCUAUGCCGCGUGCAUUCAACCGCAUACAAGCACAAACAAAUACAGGGACUGAAUGCAGCUGCGAGAAAAAUUAUUGUUCACUUGCAAAUGCACCACAAUACACUGCUAUACUAAUUUCCAAAAAUUCCAGAGUACUGCAAUUGUGGUUAAACCAUUAAUUCCCCUUCAUUUGUCCUACAUCCUACAUGGGCAGACUGGGAAGGGCCAUGGCUUGACCAAGGAGAGUGAAACCAGCCCUCCAAAAGGCUGCAAUGAAGCCUCAGAAUGGCAAAAGUCCAAGUCAGUUGAUUCCAACUUGGGAAGUCAUAUAAGUUUCAUAACUGAAUGUAGAUGCUACUAAUGAUAUUUCCUAACAGAAGAGUAUUGUGCACAUGUCGCAAGUGUUUAAGCAGUUUCCUUCUUUUAUAUCUCAAGGUUGUGCUGAGACACACCUACCAGUGCUGCAUAUUCUUUACAUACUGAUAGAGAGACAUUUCUCAGGAUUUAACACAAAGUCUUCUGUGUGAUGUAGACAGAAAGUGUAUUGACUAUUUCUUGGAUCAGAAACUUUUCACAAAGAAAUUCUCAGAAAGUAGAAUGACAAUGACAGUCUUCCAGACGGAAUUCAACACAAUAUUACAUUUUUUACUUGCCCACUAAUUUUUAUUUCAUGCCUUAUCAC